UACGAAGGGGGCUAGCGUUGCUCGGAAUCACUGGGCGUAAAGGGUGCGUAGGCGGGUCUUUAAGUCAGGGGUGAAAUCCUGGAGCUCAACUCCAGAACUGCCUUUGAUACUGAGGAUCUUGAGUUCGGGAGAGGUGAGUGGAACUGCGAGUGUAGAGGUGAAAUUCGUAGAUAUUCGCAAGAACACCAGUGGCGAAGGCGACUCACUGGCCCGGUACUGACGCUGAGGCACGAAAGCGUGGUGAGCAAACAGG
This 253-nucleotide ribosomal RNA is filed under the name uncultured bacterium. Its description in RNAcentral is "partial 16S ribosomal RNA". It matches the Rfam family "Bacterial small subunit ribosomal RNA", at positions 524 to 776 of the family's 1533-position model. The record is from RNAcentral.